UACGGAGGGUGCGAGCGUUGUCCGGAAUCACUGGGCGUAAAGGGCGCGUAGGCGGCCUGAUAAGUAGGGGGUGAAAUCCUGCGGCUUAACCGCAGGGCUGCCUUCUAAACUGUCAGGCUAGAGCACAGUAGAGGCAGGUGGAAUUCCCGGUGUAGCGGUGGAAUGCGUAGAGAUCGGGAAGAACAUCAGUGGCGAAGGCGGCCUGCUGGGCUGUUGCUGACGCUGAGGCGCGACAGCGUGGGAGCAAACAGG
RNAcentral lists this ribosomal RNA (252 nucleotides) under uncultured bacterium. RNAcentral describes it as "partial 16S ribosomal RNA". It matches the Rfam family "Bacterial small subunit ribosomal RNA", at positions 524 to 776 of the family's 1533-position model. The record is from RNAcentral.